RNAcentral lists this ribosomal RNA (458 nucleotides) under uncultured bacterium. RNAcentral describes it as "partial 16S ribosomal RNA". It matches the Rfam family "Bacterial small subunit ribosomal RNA", at positions 338 to 795 of the family's 1533-position model. The record is from RNAcentral.
CCUACGGGGGGCUGCAGUGAGGAAUAUUGGUCAAUGGGCGAGAGCCUGAACCAGCCAAGUCGCGUGAGGGAGUACUGCCCUAUGGGUUGUAAACCUCUUUUGUCGGGGAGCAAAAGCCGGACGUGUCCGGCUGUGAGAGUUCCCGAAGAAAAAGCAUCGGCCAACUCCGUGGCAGCAGCCGCGGUUAUACGGAGGAUGCGAGCGGUAUCCGGGUUUAUUGGGUUUUAAGGGUGCGCAGGCGGGUUUUUAAGUCAGUGGGAAAAUCGUGGGGCUCAACCCCAUCCAGCCGGUGAAACUGGGGAUCUAGAGUGUGCGAGAGGUAUGCGGAAUGCGCGGUGUAGCGGUGAAAUGCAUAGAUAUCACGCAGAACCCCGAUUGCGAAGGCAGCAUACCGGUGCAAAACUGACGCUCAGGCACGAAAGCGUGGGUAUCGAACAGGAUUAGAUACCCCAGUAGUC